GGGGGCGUAGCUCAGUUGGUAGAGCAGCGGCCUUUUAAGCCGUAGGUCGUGGGUUCGAAUCCCACCGCCCUCA
RNAcentral lists this transfer RNA (73 nucleotides) under Gemmatimonadales bacterium. RNAcentral's name for it is "tRNA-Lys". It matches the Rfam family "tRNA". Rfam says of the family: Transfer RNA (tRNA) molecules are approximately 80 nucleotides in length. Their secondary structure includes four short double-helical elements and three loops (D, anti-codon, and T loops). The record is from RNAcentral. RNAcentral also lists the same sequence under 1 other name. Lineage: Bacteria; Pseudomonadati; Gemmatimonadota; Gemmatimonadia; Gemmatimonadales.